GUUCCAGUGGCGCAAUCGGUUAGCGCGCGGUACUUAUAAUGCCGAGGUUGUGAGUUCGAGCCUCACCUGGAGCA
Molecule: transfer RNA, 74 nt
Filed under: Nomascus leucogenys (northern white-cheeked gibbon)
Lineage: Eukaryota; Metazoa; Chordata; Mammalia; Primates; Hylobatidae
Description: tRNA-Ile (TAT) (tRNA-Ile-TAT-4-1)
Rfam family: tRNA
About the family: Transfer RNA (tRNA) molecules are approximately 80 nucleotides in length. Their secondary structure includes four short double-helical elements and three loops (D, anti-codon, and T loops).
Source: RNAcentral